UAUCCCACCUAACCUAUCCUAAAUUUCUAAGUUACUUUACACGUAAAGCUUUACAUUCAAUUUUCUAAAACUUAAGAAAGUAAAAUGUCAACUAUAGUGGCUACAUAUAUGUUAAAAGUCUAACAAAUUAAUUAAUAUACAGUAUCUUGUCUCCGUUGAUUUUUGUCGUAUCUGCUCCAUUAUUGCUCUGUAUCUGCUCCAUUAUUGCUCUUUAUCUUUAUCCUUCCAGCUGGCAUUUUAUCUUCUUUAUUCUAAAUGUACCUCUGGAAUAAUAUUAUCUUCUCCAUUGCACCUCGAACAUUGGUGGUCUGGAUAUUUAUGUCCAAUUAUCUUACAGUAUCUCGUUAGUAGUCCGUCUGAAAUAAAUCCCUUUUUUAUUGCUCGUGCGGUAGAUUGUUUUUCUGGGUUGAGUAGUGUUAAUAUCCACUGUCUUACAUCUUCCAUAUCUUCUUGUCUUAGUUCUUUCGAAUUUGAAUAUAUCAUUUGGUGGU
Molecule: long non-coding RNA, 491 nt
Filed under: Capsicum annuum
Lineage: Eukaryota; Viridiplantae; Streptophyta; Magnoliopsida; Solanales; Solanaceae
Description: long non-coding RNA (CANN_LNC007086)
Source: RNAcentral